This 253-nucleotide ribosomal RNA is filed under the name uncultured bacterium. RNAcentral describes it as "partial 16S ribosomal RNA". It matches the Rfam family "Bacterial small subunit ribosomal RNA", at positions 524 to 776 of the family's 1533-position model. The record is from RNAcentral.
UACGAAGGGGGCUAGCGUUGCUCGGAAUCACUGGGCGUAAAGCGCACGUAGGCGGAUUGCUAAGUCAGGGGUGAAAUCCCGGAGCUCAACUCCGGAACUGCCUUUGAUACUGGCGAUCUUGAGUCCGGGAGAGGUGAGUGGAACUGCGAGUGUAGAGGUGAAAUUCGUAGAUAUUCGCAAGAACACCAGUGGCGAAGGCGGCUCACUGGCCCGAUACUGACGCUGAGGCACGAAAGCGUGGGGAGCAAACAGG